Molecule: ribosomal RNA, 253 nt
Filed under: uncultured bacterium
Lineage: Bacteria
Description: partial 16S ribosomal RNA
Rfam family: Bacterial small subunit ribosomal RNA
Source: RNAcentral
UACGAAGGGGGCUAGCGUUGCUCGGAAUCACUGGGCGUAAAGGGUGCGUAGGCGGGUUUUUAAGUCAGGGGUGAAAUCCUGGAGCUCAACUCCAGAACUGCCUUUGAUACUGAAGAUCUUGAGUUCGGGAGAGGUGAGUGGAACUGCGAGUGUAGAGGUGAAAUUCGUAGAUAUUCGCAAGAACACCAGUGGCGAAGGCGGCUUACUGGUCCGGUUCUGACGCUGAGGCGCGAAAGCGUGGGGAGCAAACAGG